Long non-coding RNA from Chroicocephalus ridibundus (black-headed gull), 1363 nucleotides. RefSeq lists it as uncharacterized. The record is from RefSeq and is a predicted model, not a curated record. The transcript has 8 exons. NCBI's taxonomy places the organism in Eukaryota, Metazoa, Chordata, Aves, Charadriiformes, Laridae.
GGGCGCUCUCCCAUAAGCUGCUGUGGUAAAUCCUCACCUGCUUUGUUGUCUUCAGUCGGUGUGCCCAACAGCUCUGGCAGGAACUGAAGCAGGGAAGUGCUUCUUAGGCGGCCCAACCGCUCCAGAUUUAAUCUUGAAUCUUCAUCCGCUGCAAAUGGAAGAUGACAGAAACAGGCAUAAGAUCGUUCUUGAAGAAUGUUUUUUGACCAAGAGCAGCCCCUCCCAUUGCUUGAGGAACUCACAGCCUAAUCCUUCUGGUACCCAGCUGUAGACAACCUAGACUUGCUAGAGACUCUUUAUAUUCGCAAGGAAGAUUUAAUAAGCUUAAUGGAUGUCUUCAAACAAAUGCAGUAAUUGUUAGAGCCAGCGUGUUCACCCUGUGAUGUGAUAGAUGUUGUCCAUACUGAGUCAUGGCUGUCUGUAAAGGCAAGUUACAUAGUGGGAGGCUUGAGAAGAUGCUGGCUUAGUGAGUCCAAACUUUUCGAAGCAAACUGGGAACUACUGAUGCCUAUAGACCAGCACAACAACGGUUGCACCUGCCAAGCAGCAUUUCACAUCUAUUUAUUUGAGAAGACCUCAUCCAAUGCUGCCCUAGAGAAUUGUCUUGGCAGAGAAAGUACAGCUUCCAUCUGGAGACUUGCUUGACCAAGGAGUGACUGGACUCACCUUUGUUCUCUACGAAGCAUCCUAUCCAACUGUAUAGAACCUUGAAAACUAAAAAAAGAGGUCCGGUAUUGGCUUGUGGAACACGUGCUGCAGGUGUCUGAACUACAAAUCCUGUUUCUCUGGACUUCUCUCUGCUGAAUUUGGUGAGAAAAUGGACGUCCUCGGCAAAUAGAGCUAUGAGUUCAGCAUUGCUUUCUGUUCUCCUCCAUCCUUGAGCACGCAUCUCUGCUUCCCUGUGGUUCUGGCCUCAAGAGACCCCAGCUUCCAGUGAGCGUUGGUCCUGUCCCUGCUGGUCCAUGUUCCCGGGUUGUCCAAUAGCAUCUGUAGUUCCAGGACAGAAGGAUGCUCAGCCAUCUGUUCCUGACGCGCAGCUGCCACAAACCCGGCGGGACGGAGAACCCCCUUGGAUGGACUCUGAGGAAAGCGCCGUAUCAGGGAAGGCUUGCUGGUAGAGAGAGGGGAACUGAGGUAACACUUGGUGACAGAGUGAGACUUUGUAUAAUUUUAAUAGAGAAACUUACCUUGACUCCCUAUCACUUGUUUGAAAUGCCAGCGGAGCGGUACAAGUGCCUAUUUAACACCAUUGCCUGUGUGUCGUCACGCAGGAGUCGUCCUCCUGUGGAGGUGUCGUGGAUCGGGCUUUCACGUCGUUAGUGUUAGUAUCAGAAUGACUGUCAGAGGCGGCUGUGCUUCUGUC